UAGCCUGUUUAUCAAAAACAUUUCUUUUAGUUCGUAUGGAAAGUAAAGCCUGCCCACUGAAUUUUUGAAGGGCCGCAGUAUUUUGACUGUGCUAAGGUAGCGUAAUCAUUAGUCUCUUAAUUAGAGAAUUGUAUGAAUGGUUUAACUUACAAAAAUUUUAUUUUUUGUUAAAAAUUAAAUUUAAUUUAAAGGUAAAGUGCUUUCGAAUAUUAAAUAGACGAUAAGACCCUAUAGAGCUUAACGUUAAAAAUAUAAUUUGUUUUUGGGGGAAAAUUGAAUUAUAUUUUUAAUGGUUUGUUGGGGCAAUAAAAGAAUAAAAAAAACUUCUUAUUUUAACUUAAAUUUUAAAACUUAAAAAGUUACCUUAGGGAUAACAGCGUAAUAAAUUCUAAGAGUUCUAAUCGACGUAUUUGUUUGUGACCUCGAUGUUGAAUUAAAAUUUCUUAGUGGGGCAGUUCUAAAGAGGAUGUCUCUCGCCUUUUG
Molecule: ribosomal RNA, 483 nt
Filed under: Entomobrya sp. HB0852_2
Lineage: Eukaryota; Metazoa; Arthropoda; Collembola; Entomobryomorpha; Entomobryidae
Description: partial 16S ribosomal RNA
Rfam family: Bacterial large subunit ribosomal RNA
Source: RNAcentral